This is a long non-coding RNA of Mizuhopecten yessoensis (Yesso scallop), 717 nucleotides long. RefSeq lists it as uncharacterized. The transcript has 2 exons. Lineage: Eukaryota; Metazoa; Mollusca; Bivalvia; Pectinida; Pectinidae. The record is from RefSeq and is a predicted model, not a curated record.
UCAUCGUUAGCAUGUGAUCACAGAUGAAUGGACAACAAAACAUGGAAAUCACCACCUUUCACUUUCGUUUCCUAUUAUAGAGUAAACGAGGAAGCAAAAAGCAUGUAAUUCAUAUUGUGAUGAAGACAUUUGGAUUAAAAAUUGAUACUGGAGGACGGUGAACCUCACACAGCACCCUUUGUUCUCAGCCUCUGUUGUUACAUUGGUGAGUCAAUUCCCAUCAAGUCUGGAAAACUAUUGCAUAACAGAGGCAGUGAAAUAAACAAAUCUUGCUACUUCCUCCACCAGCAUAAUGUUUUGGUCAAAUAAUGAUCGGAAUCGAUAGAAACGAUACGCCUCCCACAAACAACCUGCUCGUUAGUCAUCAACAGUACACUGCACACAGAAUGGAUGGAGACAGAAGUAAACAGCAAUCUUACAGGUACAAGCCUCGGGCAUUAUAAAACUUGUUUAUUUACCUGUACACUGUCCAAAUUUAAGAAAAGUAUCUGGUUUUGAAUAGACGACACAAGUUUGUAUGUAAAUACUGUAAGAACACUUGCAAGAUUUCGUGACAUUAAUAUGAUGUUUGAAUAAAAACAUUUCUGUUGUCUUAUGUUGGUUUCCGAAUUUUUCAGAUUGUGAAUGAUAUAGUCAACUGAUUUUUACAAUUCUUGUAUUAUCAUUUUCUGCUUGCCAAGUUGUCUCGGUGAAAAAAAAUAAAAAAUUUGAAGAAAA